GACGUAGGGCGCGAGCGUUGUCCGGAUUUAUUGGGCGUAAAGAGCUCGUAGGCGGUUUGUCGCGUCGGGAGUGAAAACCUUGGGCUUAACUCAGGGCUUGCUUUCGAUACGGGCAGACUAGAGGUAUGCAGGGGAGAACGGAAUUCCUGGUGUAGCGGUGAAAUUCGUAGAUAUGGGGAGGAACACCGGUGGCGAAGGCGGCCACCUGGACGGAUACUGACGCUGAGACGCGAAAGCGUGGGGAGCAAACAGG
This 253-nucleotide ribosomal RNA is filed under the name uncultured bacterium. Its description in RNAcentral is "partial 16S ribosomal RNA". It matches the Rfam family "Bacterial small subunit ribosomal RNA", at positions 524 to 776 of the family's 1533-position model. The record is from RNAcentral.